GAAUGCUGACAUAAGUAACGAUAAAGCGGGUGAAAAGCCCGCUCGCCGGAAGACCAAGGGUUCCUGUCCAACGUUAAUCGGGGCAGGGUGAGUCGACCCCUAAGGCGAGGCCGAAAGGCGUAGUCGAUGGGAAACAGGUUAAUAUUCCUGUACUUGGUGUUACUGCGAAGGGGGGACGGAGAAGGCUAUGUCAGCCGGGCGACGGUUGUCCCGGUUUAAGCAUGUAGGCGGAGGU
RNAcentral lists this ribosomal RNA (235 nucleotides) under Enterobacter hormaechei. RNAcentral describes it as "partial 23S ribosomal RNA". It matches the Rfam family "Bacterial large subunit ribosomal RNA", at positions 1292 to 1531 of the family's 2925-position model. The record is from RNAcentral. Lineage: Bacteria; Pseudomonadati; Pseudomonadota; Gammaproteobacteria; Enterobacterales; Enterobacteriaceae. RNAcentral also lists the same sequence under 4 other names.